UACAGCGGGAAGCCAGGCGGCGACGCCGAGCGGAACCCGAAAAACCGGUCUCAGUUCGGAUCGGAGUCUGCAACCCGACUCCGUGAAGCUGGAUUCGCUAGUAAUCGCGCAUCAGCCAUGGCGCGGUGAAUACGUUCCCGGGCCUUGUACACACCGCCCGUCAAGCCAUGGGAGCCGGGGGUGCUUGAAGUGCGUCGCCGUGAGGCGCGCCCUAGAGCAAAACCGGUGACUGGGGCUAAGUCGUAACAAGGUAUC
RNAcentral lists this ribosomal RNA (255 nucleotides) under uncultured bacterium. Its description in RNAcentral is "partial 16S ribosomal RNA". It matches the Rfam family "Bacterial small subunit ribosomal RNA", at positions 1238 to 1500 of the family's 1533-position model. The record is from RNAcentral.